This 312-nucleotide ribosomal RNA is filed under the name Triticum aestivum (bread wheat). Its description in RNAcentral is "partial small subunit ribosomal RNA". Lineage: Eukaryota; Viridiplantae; Streptophyta; Magnoliopsida; Poales; Poaceae. The record is from RNAcentral.
AUGCAUUCCGUUCGAGGGGCUGGUCGGGUUGGCGCGGGAUCUGAGCCACCGUCGAUGGAUUUCUCGCAGCUUGGCUCCUGUUGCUUUGGAUCCGGGCGAGGAGCCGCCGCCAUGUUUCUCCCCGAGCUCUGUGGUGGAAUGGUCUAUUUGUAUCAGAUUGUGUUUAGUGGAUGCGAAGAGCUCAGUUCUGGUAAGCUAGACCCUGAGGCGUGCAGCAGGUAUGUGGAGAUUAAGGAGCGUGCCCAUGUGAGCGGCUUCGAUUUUGUUGUGCCAAGAUCUCCGGUGGCAGGGAUUCACUUCUUUUUUUGGUGA